UUCCUGUUUGGUAUUUUUUUU
This 21-nucleotide non-coding RNA is filed under the name Caenorhabditis elegans. The record is from RNAcentral. Lineage: Eukaryota; Metazoa; Nematoda; Chromadorea; Rhabditida; Rhabditidae.